This 331-nucleotide ribosomal RNA is filed under the name uncultured Bacillota bacterium. RNAcentral describes it as "bacterial SSU rRNA". It matches the Rfam family "Bacterial small subunit ribosomal RNA", at positions 28 to 351 of the family's 1533-position model. Lineage: Bacteria; Bacillati; Bacillota. The record is from RNAcentral.
GACGAACGCUGGCGGCGUGCCUAAUACAUGCAAGUCGAGCGCAUGACGAGGAGCUUGCUCCUCUGAUUGAGCGGCGGACGGGUGAGUAACACGUGGGCAACCUGCCCUGUAGACGGGGAUAACUUCGGGAAACCGGAGCUAAUACCGGAUAAUCCUCUUCCCCACAUGGGGAAGAGUUGAAAGGCGCUUUCGCGUCACUACAGGAUGGGCCCGCGGUGCAUUAGCUAGUUGGUGGGGUAACGGCCUACCAAGGCGACGAUGCAUAGCCGACCUGAGAGGGUGAUCGGCCACAUUGGGACUGAGACACGGCCCAAACUCCUACGGGAGGCAG